RNAcentral lists this ribosomal RNA (754 nucleotides) under uncultured Actinomyces sp. RNAcentral's name for it is "bacterial SSU rRNA". It matches the Rfam family "Bacterial small subunit ribosomal RNA", at positions 28 to 777 of the family's 1533-position model. Lineage: Bacteria; Bacillati; Actinomycetota; Actinomycetes; Actinomycetales; Actinomycetaceae. The record is from RNAcentral.
GACGAACGCUGGCGGCGUGCUUAACACAUGCAAGUCGAACGCUGAAGCCUAGCUUGCUGGGUGGAUGAGUGGCGAACGGGUGAGUAACACGUGAGCAACCUGCCCUCUUCUUUGGGAUAACGCCCGGAAACGGGUGCUAAUACUGGAUAUUCACUGAUCUUCGCAUGGGGGUUGGUGGAAAGGUUUUUUCUGGUGGGGGAUGGGCUCGCGGCCUAUCAGCUUGUUGGUGGGGUGAUGGCCUACCAAGGCUUUGACGGGUAGCCGGCCUGAGAGGGUGACCGGUCACAUUGGGACUGAGAUACGGCCCAGACUCCUACGGGAGGCAGCAGUGGGGAAUAUUGCACAAUGGGCGAAAGCCUGAUGCAGCGACGCCGCGUGAGGGAUGGAGGCCUUCGGGUUGUAAACCUCUUUCGCUCAUGGUCAAGCCGCAGCUUUGGGUUGUGGUGAGGGUAGUGGGUAAAGAAGCGCCGGCUAACUACGUGCCAGCAGCCGCGGUAAUACGUAGGGCGCGAGCGUUGUCCGGAAUUAUUGGGCGUAAAGGGCUUGUAGGCGGUUGGUCGCGUCUGCCGUGAAAUCCUCUGGCUUAACUGGGGGCGUGCGGUGGGUACGGGCUGACUUGAGUGCGGUAGGGGAGACUGGAACUCCUGGUGUAGCGGUGGAAUGCGCAGAUAUCAGGAAGAACACCGGUGGCGAAGGCGGGUCUCUGGGCCGUUACUGACGCUNNAGGAGCGAAAGCGUGGGGGAGCGAACANNA